Long non-coding RNA from Pistacia vera, 436 nucleotides. RefSeq lists it as uncharacterized. The record is from RefSeq and is a predicted model, not a curated record. The transcript has 2 exons. NCBI's taxonomy places the organism in Eukaryota, Viridiplantae, Streptophyta, Magnoliopsida, Sapindales, Anacardiaceae.
UUUUUGUUAUAUUGUCUGUGUGUAUGUGCUUAUGUUGUUUUUGGGCAUAAAGUAACUUUAUUUUGCAAAUGUUGUUCAUUCUGGAUUAUAUUGCAAAUGAUUUUGUUAUUAAUUAUUAUGUGACUUUUUUUUUUUGUUUUUUAAUUUGUAAUCAGAGGAAAACAGCGUGACAUUGGGGCUAUUUUUUAAUUUGCGGCAAAGCUGCAUUCCUCGCUGGAAAUCGACGACGACGACGACAUUCCUCACUAGAAAUCGACAACAGCACAACUCCAUUUCAGAAAGUAUGAUAGUGAUGGUUAUGAUGAUGAUGACGGUGGUGAUGAUGAUGAAUUUUGAUGCUAGUAUAUGAAACUCAAUCAACAUGGAGAUGGAUCAAAGAAAAAACACUUGUACCGAAAGUUUUGUUAUUAAUUAUUAUAUAUUUUUUUUCAUUUAA